CUCCACACAAUUCCCACGCUAGAUAUUUGAGGGUAAUCUGAUGCAAUCCAGGAUGGAUGUAAUUACUCCCAGGUGAAUUCCAUGGGAGAGACUGAUGCCUGGGGGAGGCACGCACAGCAGCAACCAUGGAAUCUGGAAGCGAUGGCAACUAUAUUUCCUGAGGGUCCCGCCAUCUCUGAUUCUGCUGUGAACAUAUGUGGCAGCACCUAGUGCCUGAGGUCCUGCUGCAGAGUUCCUGACAACCAGCUGCAUCAUCUUUUGUAACUUCAGUACAUUUGAAAAAGUGAGCACAGUGCACAGGGGUUUCACGAUCUGCACAGGAGGACCUCAGGCUUCUAGGUCUGCCCCAUCACUAAGUGAGAUGUUCUUCCUCGGCAAUAUGUGGAGGAGGCAAUGUUGCCAUGUAAAAAAGAUGCAUCUGUGAUGUGGAACUGUGGAAGACUGAACUCAAGAGUGGAAAAUGAAAUCAACAGAUUUGUACAUCUCUAAUCCCUCACCACCAAAUAAUCCCAAUAAACAGCCAUUCAUUGGAGGAAACGUUCCCAAGUCAAUUGCUAUUAUUUCCAGUUCUGUGCAGGUUCGGUCGGCUCAUUCACGGGUGGCGCUCAAUGUCCAGUCUUCCGAGGAGGAUCUCCCGGUGCCUAGAGUCCCUUCAUCUGGUGGCAAGCAGCCGAGGAGUCAUCGCUCCAAACACAGGGCCAAGAGGCACAGAGAGAGUGAUUCCUCCUCAUCUACUGAUAUGUCUCCUCAAACCUCUGAUCAUGACUCAGACACAGUCCUGGGUCUGUACUGGGGUCACAGUGAGGGGGCUUUGGGCCUUCCCAGGUGUGCAUGGCAGCGUAGAGCCAACACGCACAGGGCAAAUCGUUCUCGCCCUGUACAACCACUCACUUUCUGUAAUCAAUAAAGUUGUGGCCUAAAUUCUGCCAAAAACCAAACUAAAAUUUGAGUCAAAUGUGUCUUCAUUUAGGGGGGAGGUCUCUGAGUCAGAACACGCAACAGUAAGUUUCUCAUUGGUCCUUUUUUUUGCAGCCUAACACAGUGUAGCACAUUUGACAGAGGGGAAUAAAAAUGGGAAAAUGUGACAUGAUGGAGAAAAGCUUCAGAAUAGCUGCAAAACAGCUUCUGAGUAGAGCAGGAGCAUUUAAUUUGAGAAUUUUAGCAUUCUAGCCACUGAAUCCUUAAAAGUAUAUACAGUGGUACCUCGACUUACGAACGACUCAACAACCAAAUUUUCGACUUAUGAAUGGGGCAAAUGGUCGAACGCUUACGAAUUUCUUGACAUCUGAACGGAUACCGUGGCGGUUUUAGAUAGGGUUUUUUCGACUCACGAA
This is a long non-coding RNA of Zootoca vivipara (common lizard), 1334 nucleotides long. RefSeq lists it as uncharacterized. The record is from RefSeq and is a predicted model, not a curated record. Lineage: Eukaryota; Metazoa; Chordata; Lepidosauria; Squamata; Lacertidae.